CCAAUAGCUCCUGUGCGACGUCUUUCCUGCGAAUUGGAUGGAAUGGGACGUUGUUCGAUGAAAUAGCUCUCGUGCGACGGUUUGCAGGAAGAAAAUAGCUCACGGCCACACAUGCGAUAAAACCUUAGUCAACUAGUCCAAUUUGCGUUAAGUCAUGUCUUACCUAAUUUGGGCCCAAAUUAAUUAGCACCGCAUCUCGUGAAACUGCCCGACUAGAGCUGUCCGAAACUGCCCGACAUCUUCAGCUCCGGCGGCGGCUACGGCGGAGGAGCCCUCUUUCUCGGCGUAGCCCCCUUUCGGCGGCGGCGGCGGCCAUGGUGGUGAGUGAAUUCGAUACUCUAGUCCCAAUCCCCUCCACCUUGUAGAUCUGAGCUCUCUGUUUUGCUUGGUGAAAUCGAUAGAAGGUGAGAGGGGGCGGCGCGGUGAGAGGAGCCCAUGGUCAGGUCGAGAAGGAGCUGCCAGAUUCAGCU
RNAcentral lists this long non-coding RNA (470 nucleotides) under Hordeum vulgare. Its description in RNAcentral is "long non-coding RNA (HVUL_LNC007970)". Lineage: Eukaryota; Viridiplantae; Streptophyta; Magnoliopsida; Poales; Poaceae. The record is from RNAcentral.